Trametes gibbosa is the source of this 84-nucleotide non-coding RNA. The record is from the annotation of a GenBank genome assembly. Lineage: Eukaryota; Fungi; Basidiomycota; Agaricomycetes; Polyporales; Polyporaceae.
GCCGGGAUAGCUCAGCUGGGAGAGCAACAGACUGAAGAGUACACUGUCUUCUGGAGGUCGCGUGUUCAAUCCACGCUCCUGGCA